RNAcentral lists this ribosomal RNA (440 nucleotides) under uncultured bacterium. RNAcentral describes it as "partial 16S ribosomal RNA". It matches the Rfam family "Bacterial small subunit ribosomal RNA", at positions 338 to 795 of the family's 1533-position model. The record is from RNAcentral.
CCUACGGGAGGCAGCAGUAGGGAAUAUUGCUCAAUGGGGGAAACCCUGAAGCAGCAAAGCCGCGUGGAGGAUGAAGGUUUUCGGAUUGUAAACUCCUUUUGUUAGAGAAGAUAAUGACGGUAUCUAACGAAUAAGCACCGGCUAACUCCGUGACAGCAGCCGCGGUAAUACGGAGGGUGCAAGCGUUACUCGGAAUCACUGGGCGUAAAGAGCGCGUAGGCGGGAUAGCAAGUCAGAUGUGAAAUCCUAUGGCUUAACCAUAGAACUGCAUUUGAAACUGUUAUUCUAGAGUAUGGGAGAGGUAGGUGGAAUUCGUGGUGUAGGGGUAAAAUCCGUAGAGAUCAAGAGGAAUACUCAUUGCGAAGGCGACCUGCUAGAACAUAACUGACGCUGAUGCGCGAAAGCGUGGGUAGCAAACAGGAUUAGAUACCCUAGUAGUC